CCAAACCAGACGUUUAGUUGUUACUCUACAAUAAGGACAUCUGCAUCGGUGGUAAAUAAGUUUCUUCCAAGUAUAAUAUAACUAUUUUGGAUUUAAUUAGAAUUUGUAAUUAACUUUUAUUGAUAAACAAAACAGAGCCACUUAAAACAUGCCUUUGGUAUUUAGAGUCUCUUAAAUGUCCGUAAUGGUAUGGUCUUAGAGAUACUUGGCGUUUCUUUUAUUUUUUCUAUACAUUUUCUUUCAUCUCUUUCUAUUAUUUUCUUUUUUUUAAUCGAAAAAUUACGGUAGAAACCAACCGAUGCGGAUGGUCUAAUAAACUAAUCCAAAAAGCCAUCAAAAAUUUGAUGAUUUAUUUUGACAAAUAUCAAUUUUCCGAACAAUUGGAAGGUGGACAAAUAAUAAUGCAUUGACGUCCACAUUAAAAUUAGGAUUCGUAGGUCCCAAGGAAAUCUAAAGGGAGGGACCCAUUAAUAUUUGCUCGAACAUUUUUUUAAGUCAUUUGACUUUUCCUUUCUUCCAAACAAAAUUUGCUGUUUA
This 537-nucleotide long non-coding RNA is filed under the name Brassica rapa (field mustard). RNAcentral's name for it is "long non-coding RNA (BRAP_LNC004056)". Lineage: Eukaryota; Viridiplantae; Streptophyta; Magnoliopsida; Brassicales; Brassicaceae. The record is from RNAcentral.